RNAcentral lists this ribosomal RNA (293 nucleotides) under uncultured bacterium. Its description in RNAcentral is "partial 16S ribosomal RNA". It matches the Rfam family "Bacterial small subunit ribosomal RNA", at positions 775 to 1067 of the family's 1533-position model. The record is from RNAcentral.
GGAUUAGAUACCCUGGUAGUCCACGCCCUAAACGAUGUGUGCUAGAUGUCGGGGGACUUGUCCUUCGGUGUCGGAGCUAACGUGUUAAGCACACCGCCUGGGGAGUACGGCCGCAAGGUUAAAACUCAAAGGAAUUGACGGGGGCCCGCACAAGCGGUGGAGCAUGUGGUUUAAUUCGACGCAACGCGCAGAACCUUACCAGCCCUUGACAUGAUGGCUGCGGUAUCCGGAGACGGAUGCUUUCCUUCGGGAGGCCAUUACAGGUGCUGCAUGGCUGUCGUCAGCUCGUGCCG